CGGGGUGCAGCAGGCGCGAAAACUUUACAAUGCUGGAAACAGCGAUAAGGGGACCUCGAGUGCCAGGUUACAAAUCUGGCUGUCGUGAUGCCUAAAAAGCAUUGCAUAGCAAGGGCCGGGCAAGACCGGUGCCAGCCGCCGCGGUAACACCGGCGGCUCGAGUGGUAACCGUUAUUAUUGGGUCUAAAGGGUCUGUAGCCGGCCGGAUAAGUCUCUUGGGAAAUCCAGCAGCUCAACUGUUGGGCUUUCAGGAGAUACUGUCUGGCUCGAGGCCGGGAGAGGUGAGAGGUACUUCAGGGGUAGGGGUGAAAUCUUGUAAUUCUUGAAGGACCACCAGUGGCGAAGGCGUCUCACCAGAACGGACCUGACGGCAAGGGACGAAAGCUAGGGGCACGAACCGGAUUAGAUACCCGGGUAGUCCUAGCCGUAAACGAUACUCGCUAGGUGUCGGCCACGGUGCGACCGUUGUCGGUGCCGUAGGGAAGCCGUGAAGCGAGCCACCUGGGAAGUACGGCCGCAAGGCUGAAACUUAAAGGAAUUGGCGGGGGAGCACAAGGGCGAUUCGCG
RNAcentral lists this ribosomal RNA (567 nucleotides) under uncultured archaeon. RNAcentral describes it as "bacterial SSU rRNA". It matches the Rfam family "Archaeal small subunit ribosomal RNA", at positions 326 to 897 of the family's 1478-position model. The record is from RNAcentral.